AAGAACUAACAGGAUUCCCCUAGUAACUGCGAGUGAAGCGGGAAAAGCUCAAAUUUAAAAUCUGGCGGUCUUUGGCCGUCCGAGUUGUAAUUUAGAGAAGCGUCUUCCGCGCCGGACCGUGCACAAGUCUCCUGGAAUGGAGCGUCAUAGAGGGUGAGAAUCCCGUCUUUGGCACGGAUGCCCGGUGCUUCUGUGAUGCGCUCUCGAAGAGUCGAGUUGUUUGGGAAUGCAGCUCAAAAUGGGUGGUGAACUCCAUCUAAAGCUAAAUAUUGGCGAGAGACCGAUAGCGAACAAGUACCGUGAGGGAAAGAUGAAAAGCACUUUGGAAAGAGAGUGAAACAGUACGUGAAAUUGUUGAAAGGGAAACGCUUGAAGUCAGUCGCGUCGACCGAGACUCAGCCUUGCCUUGGCUUGGUGUACUUCUCGGCCCGACGGGUCAGCGUCGAUUUCGCUCCUCGGAUAAUGGCAAGGGAAAGGUGGCACCUUUACGGGUGUGUUAUAGUCUCCUGUCGCAUGCGAGGGGUGGGAUCGAGGAACUCAGCGCGCACCUUGGUGUCGGGGCUUCUGCCCACGUCACGCGCUUAGGAUGCUGGCGUAAUGGCUUUAAACGACCCGUCUUGAAACACGGACCAAGGAGUCCAACACGCCCGCGAGUGUUCGGGUGGAAAACCCGUGCGCGUAAUGAAAGUGAAAGUUGGGACCUCUGUCGUGGAGGGCACCGACGCCCGGACCAGACCUUCUGUGACGGAUCUGCGGUAGAGCGUGCGUGUUGGGACCCGAAAGAUGGUGAACUAUGCCUGAAUAGGGUGAAGCCAGAGGAAACUCUGGUGGAGGCUCGUAGCGAUUCUGACGUGCAAAUCGAUCGUCAAAUUUGGGUAUAGGGGCGAAAGACUAAUCGAACCAUCUAGUAGCUGGUUCCUGCCGAAUUUUUCCCUC
RNAcentral lists this ribosomal RNA (936 nucleotides) under Lactarius vietus. Its description in RNAcentral is "partial large subunit ribosomal RNA". It matches the Rfam family "Eukaryotic large subunit ribosomal RNA", at positions 56 to 974 of the family's 3401-position model. Lineage: Eukaryota; Fungi; Basidiomycota; Agaricomycetes; Russulales; Russulaceae. The record is from RNAcentral.